RNAcentral lists this ribosomal RNA (545 nucleotides) under uncultured bacterium. RNAcentral's name for it is "bacterial LSU rRNA". It matches the Rfam family "Bacterial large subunit ribosomal RNA", at positions 635 to 1179 of the family's 2925-position model. The record is from RNAcentral.
CAGUAGCAAGCUUAACGAAUAGGGGAGGCGUAGCGAAAGCGAGUACUGAAAAGGGCGAUAUAGUUGCUGGACGUAGACCGAACCAGAUGAUCUACCCAUGGCCAGGAUGAAGGUCGGGGUAACACCCACGUGGAGGUCCGAACCCACUAGUGUUGAAAAACUAGGGGAUGAGCUGUGGGUAGGGGUGAAAGGCUAAACAAAUCUGGAGAUAGCUGGUUCUCCCCGAAAACUAUUUAGGUAGUGCCUCAUAUGGACACUUCCGGGGGUAGAGCACUGUAAUGGUUGAGGGGGUCGUUUAGAUCUACCUCGCCAUAGCAAACUCCGAAUACCGGAAAGUGAUGUAUGGGAGACAGACGGUGGGUGCUAACGUCCAUCGUCAAGAGGGAAACAACCCAGACCGCCAGCUAAGGUCCCCAAUGAUUGGCUAAGUGGAAAACGAGGUGGGAAGGCAUAGACAGUCAGGAGGUUGGCUUAGAAGCAGCCAUCCUUUAAAGAAAGCGUAAUAGCUCACUGAUCGAGUCGUCCUGCGCGGAAGAUGUAACGGG